AACUACAACGGCACUAAUGAUCUCGAACCUGUACUUGCGCAGGGAAGUUCGCACUGAAAUUUUGAAGAGAUACUCUAACAGCGACCUACAAACCACUGUGCAGGUAAACAGUUGGAACCACUAAGUGUGCCCGCUGGUCUAUUCCAUCAGACCCACGCGCUGACUGUGCUCGAGUGUCUGUGUCUCUUCCUAGGCUGCUCCAUUGCCGACCGCCCUGCGCGUGUCUCGCGCAUUUUGUGCCUGGCGGCGCUAUGGCCACGUCAGACUAGGUGGUUGGGAUGGCCGUAGAGUGUGGCCCGAGGAAGGUGGCAGUCGCAGGCUUGCUUGCGGCUGUGUUAUAGCCUCGGGUCCGUGCCAUCGCCUAACGUGCUGGUCGGUAGAUUUAUUCCACCUGGAAUGUCGCUUGUAGAGGUUGUGGGUGCUGCUCGGCGUCGCGGUCGCUACAUCUGGUCGGACAUUUGCGUGUCUUUGGGCGCGUAAAGACGAUCUUAUGCCUGCGGUCUAGGCGUCGGUUGCAUGAGGCAGCUGUACAAACGGUGGCACGAGUAGGUCGGUCUCCACCCGACCCGUCUUGAAACACGGACCAAGGAGCCUAUCAUGUACGCGAGUCGCUCAGUCUUGCUUAGGCUUGGAAGCC
This 637-nucleotide ribosomal RNA is filed under the name Acanthaspis siva. RNAcentral's name for it is "eukaryotic LSU rRNA". The record is from RNAcentral. Lineage: Eukaryota; Metazoa; Arthropoda; Insecta; Hemiptera; Reduviidae.